CCUUUAGAACCAAAGAGGCAAUGGAUACUCUGCGCCCGCUGGCGCCCGCCUGGCCUUGGUCGUCACGGCUCACGUCACGGAAACCUCACGAGGUGCCCCUCGCCUUGAUCUCUCCACUCCUCUCGAGCCAGCCAGUGAGGCCGUCCCUGAGGUCUUGUUUCGUCCGCCUCGCGAGGCUUGGCCCCUCGCGAGGGUCUUGAGUGUUUGCUGGUGAAGAUGGGCCGUACCAGGCCGCAGCUGGAGCCACGCCGUGGGCCGCAGCCAGGCAAGUCUGGGGACCCCCGUUCCGAGAACGCCGACAAAACCCCCAGGCCCACCCAUGCAAAGGGUUCAGCACCCACACCAUACACACACAUGGCUAGGAGAAGCAAGAGAGCUAGCCCUGCCCUUCUUCCUCUAGCAUACAACUCAAGGAGCAAGCUUGUAGUCCAUCUGAUCAUAAUCAUCAUGCGGAGACCCCGCAGAGCAGGACUAGGGGUGUUAUCUCCUCGAAGAGCCCCGAACCUGGGUAAGACUCGUGUGCGUUCGAGAUCUCGCCCACUCCCGCUUUCAGGGCCCGAUGACGUCCUCCUGUCCCCAUCCAUGAUAAGCCACCCCCUAGCAUCUGUCGCGAGAAUACCCCGACAGUUGGCGCCCACCAUGGGGCUAGGCGCAGCGUCGGCCGGAGACAUGUUCUGGACGGGAACCCUCUUCCUCUUCGGCGAGCACGUCGCGGCCGGCCUGAUCAGCCAGCCCGAUGCGCUCGUUGGCGCAUGCACCAACGCAUCACCUGACGCGGGAGCACCUGCCCCGCUAGCUGCCUCGCUGACCUCCUCGGCAAGGUCAGCCUCCCUGACGAGCCCGCACCCGGUGCGGGAGCGGCCUGCCCCGCGAGCUGCUUCGUCGACCUCUUCGACAUGCUCGGCAUCUCCGACGAGCCCGCCUCCGACGCGGAGUCCGUUGGCUCCGUUGACCCCUUCAUCGAGCCCGUUGAGAUGCUCAUCGACUCCGAUGCGGCCUCCACCAACGGGUUCCCCGUCGACGUGGUGGUCAUUGACGACCCGCUCCCUCCUAUCGCCAGCAACGCCGAAGCCGGCAUCAUCGCGGAGGUGCUGGUCACUGGCCGUAGCGGGGACUCUGUUGGGGUCGCCUAGGACCCGCUGCGAGCGGCCAUGCAGGGCCUGGCCACCCCCGUUGCUGCCAACGCCGAUGGAGCGACACUGGAGGCGUUCCGUGUGACGCUCCUUGACAGCGCCAACAAGAUGGCGGCCAUGAGGCGCCGCGCCGAGGCCUGCCAGCGCGAGAUCGACCGCAUCGAGGGUGGCAUGCCGGCUGCUGGCGAGCCCAGCCGAGCCGGCGCGAUUCGGAGAUGCGGCGCGGCCAUUGCCACCAUGCUGGGAGCCGGACGCCCCGUCUACGCUACCCCAGUGGAGAACCUGCGUGCCGCCCAGGUGGCGGCAGAAGAAUUGGAUCACCUAGAGGGCGACGAGCGGUGUAGCCAGAUGGCGCGCCUCCAAGAGCUCAACGCUGCGACCAUGCAGCAAGAUGUGUGCCGCCGCACGAUGGCAGCCGGCAAGCAAGCCGAAACCCAUCCCCCCGCUGUGAGCAUGGAGCGACCUCCCGGUCCCCAACAGGCGGCGACUGCGAUCCGCGGAACCCGAAGCUGGCUCGCUCGGUCCCUGGCCGUAGAAGAGGAAGACACGAUCGGCCCGGCCUGCUUCGGCCCCCGCAUCCGCGACGAGCCCUUCCCCAAAGGGUUCUCGCUUCCUCGAGACACUCCCAAAUACAACGGCUCCGUGAAGCCGGAGGACUGGCUGACCGACUACUCGAUGGCGGUCAGCAUAGCAAACGGCAACAAGCGCGUUGCCGUGAAGUACGUUCUGCUCAUGCUCCAGGGCACGGCCCGAACAUGACUGAACAGCUUCAAGCCCUACAGCGUCAAUGGCUGGACUUCGCUGAUGUCUUCAUCCACAACUUCACCUGCAUCUACAAGCGGCCUCCCAAGCCUCGCCAGCUCUCCAUGUGCGUUUAGGGGUCGACCGAGUCCACCCGUGACUACCUGACGGGCUGGGCCGAGCUGCGCAACUCCUGCGAAGGGGUGCACGAGGUGCAGGCCAUCGAGUACUUCACUGCCGGGUGUAGAGGGCACUCUGCUCAAGCACAAGCUCCUGUGCGAUGAGCCGGCUACAUUGGACGAGCUCCUGGUCGUGGCGGACAAAUACGCCACGGCCGACUCCUCCAUGAAGUCGGAGAUCCGGGUUGACGCGUCCGGAAAGGUGAUCCAGCCGGCCUCUCAAGCUCCGGCUGGUGACUCCAACCGGCAAGGUCCAGCAGCCGGCUUCCAACAGCCGGCAAGUGGCAACCGUCGAAGACCAGCAGCCAAAAGGGCAACCCGGCCCCAAGCGUUAGAAGGGCGGCAAGGGUGCUUGGCUGCCCGCCUUCUCCUUCGAGCAAGCCCUCGAUGCUCCAUGCAAGUUCCACAGCGACGCGAAGCCGUCCAACCACACCACUCGGAAGUGCAACUGGCUCGCCCGGAUCGCCAAGGGCGAGGCCCUGCCGCCUCCUCCAGCCGGCGCGGCGGCUCCGCCUCCUCAGCAGCCUGCGCCCCGCCCAGUCGGCAUGCUCCAAGACGAGUCCCCCGACGCCAACGCCACCUACGUCGUCUUCACCAGUGGAGCCCACGACAAGCACAGCCGGCGCCAGCACCAUCGCGAGGUGAAUGCUGUCGCCUCAGAGGUCCCCCAAUUCAUGCACUGGUCCGAGAGGCCCAUCAGCUGGAGCCGUGAUGACCACCCGGCCGUGAUGCCCUCGCCAGGUGCCUACGCAAUGGUGCUGGACUCCACCUUCUCAAUAGAGAGGCGGGAUUGCCGCUUCUUCCGGAUCGUGAUAGACGGCGGUAGCAGCAUCAACAUCCUCUACCGCGACACCAUGGAGAAGCUGGGCAUCAAGGAGAAGCAGCUCUUGCCCAGUCGGACCGUCUUCCAUGGCAUCGUCCCCGGACUUUCCUGCUCCCCAAUCGGCAAGAUCAAGAUUGACGUCCUGUUCGGCGACAAGACCCACUUCCGCCGCGAGCCAAUCUUGCUUGAGGUGGUUAACUUGGACAACCCCUACCACGCGCUCUUGGGCCAGCCCGCACUGGCCAAAUUCAUGGCGGUGCCGCAUUAUGCUUACCUGAAGAUGAAGAUGCCGGGUCCCAAUGGCAUCAUCACCAUUGCCGGCCACUACCAGAAGUCGGUCACGUGCGCUGCUGCCAGCAGUCGGCUGGCCGAGUCCCUCGUCAUCGCCGAAGAGAAGCGCCUCCUUGAUCGGGCAGUGGCCAUGGCCAACGAGCAGCCGGCCAUACCAUCCGACCCCAAGGACGCGGAGGCCCAGGGCUCCUUCCAGUCGGCCAAGGAAACCAAGAAGAUCGCCUUGGACCCGGCGCACCCGGAGAGAUUUGCUGUCGUGGGGUCUCACCUCGACAACAAAUAGGAAAGCGAGCUCGUCGUCUUCCUCCGUGAGAAUCGGGACAUCUUCGCAUGGUCUCCCAAAGACAUGCCGGGUGUUCCGAAGGAUUUCGCCGAGCACAAGCUACAUGUGAGAUCGGGUGGAAAACCGGUCAAGCAACCCCUUCGCCGCCUGUCAGAAGAGAAGAGAAGGAUCGUUGGUGAAGAAAUCUCCCGGCUUCUGGCAGCUGACUUCAUCAUGGAAGUGUUUUACCCGGACUGGCUUGCCAACCCAGUCCUCGUUUUGAAGAACAAGUGGCGCAUGUGUAUCGACUACACUAGCCUCAACAAAGCCUGCCCCAAGGACCCUUUUGCCUUGCCCCGAAUAGAUCAAGUGAUCGACUCCACGGCCGGCUCCGAGCUGAUGUCCUUCUUGGACGCCUACUCCGGCUACCACUAGAUCAAGCUGGACCCGGCCGAUCAGCUGAAGACCGCCUUCAUCACACCAUUCGGAGCCUUCUGCUACCUGACCAUGACGUUCGGCUUAAGAAAUGCCGGCGCCACCUUUCAGCAUUGCAUGCAAAAGUGCCUCCUCAAGCAACUCGGCAGGAACGCCCACGUCUAUGUGGACGAUAUUGUGGUGAAGACGGAGAAACGCGACACCCUUUUGGAGGACCUUAAGGAGACCUUCGACAACCUGCGCCAUUUUCAGAUCAAGCUCAACCCGGAGAAGUGUGUCUUCGGAGUACCAGCCGGCCAGCUCCUUGGUUUCCUUGUCUCUAAGUGCGGGAUCGAGUGCAACCCUGUGAAGAUCAAGGCCAUCGAGCGGAUGUAGAGGCCGACCCGACUGCGGGACGUCCAGAAGUUCAUCGGGUGCUUGGCAUCUCUCAGCCGGUUCAUCAGUCGGCUGGGCGAGAAGGCCCUCCCACUGUACCAGUUGAUGAAGAAGACCACAAGCUUCGAGUGGACCGACCAGGCUCCAGCUCAGGCGGAUGCUGUCCACGCCGCCUGUUCUGGCCGCGCCGACUGCUAAAGAGCCCAUGUUCCUCUACAUCGCCGCUACCAGCCGGGUGGUCAGCACCGUGAUCGUGGUCGAGCGCCCAGAAGACGGCAGGGCCCAACCAUUCCAGAGGCCGCCUCCAAGCAGAACUACCCCCACUACCAGAAGAUGUGCUAUGGCGUGUACUUUGCCGCCAAGAAGCUGAAGCAAUACUUCCAGGAGCACACCAUCACGGUCGUCUGCACCGCCCCCCUUGCCGAGAUCAUAGGCAACAGAGAUGCCUUGGGUCGAGUGGCCAAGUGGGCCAUUGAAUUGGCCCCACACACCAUCCUCUACCAGCCCUGCACCGCCAUCAAGUCCCAAGCGCUGGCCGACUUCCUAGUCGACUGGGCUGAGACCCAGUACCUGCCGCCAGCGCCGGAUUCUACCCAUUGGCGGAUGCACUUUGAUGGCUCGAAUAUGCGCACCGGUUUGGGAGCCGGCAUUGUCCUCAACUCUCCCAAAGGCGACAAGCUCAAAUACACGCUGCAGAUCCACUUUGCCGCCUCCAACAACGUGGCCGAGUACGAGGCGCUCAUCCACGGGCUCCGGCUAGCCAAGGAGAUCGACAUCUGCCGGAUUCUGUGCUAUGGCGACUCGGACUUGGUGGUCCAACAGUCUUCCGGCGACUGGGACGCCAAGGACGCCAACAUGGUGGGCUACCGCUUCCUCGUCCAGCAGAUCAGCGGGCACUUCGACGGGUGCGAGUUCCUUCACGUGCCACGGGCCGACAAAGAGCAAGCCGACGACCUGGCACGGAUUGGCUCCACCCGGCAAGCCAUACCAGCCGGCGUCUCCCUCGAGUGCCUGCGCAAGUCGUCUAUCAAGCCUUUGCCGGAAUCAGAGUCCAUCUUCGUGCCGGUUGACCCCGAAGCAGUCGGACCGGCUCGGGGACUUCAGCAGUCGGCCCGGGGACUUCGACAAGCGGCCCGAGGGCUGCAGCACCCGAACCCGGCCCGGGGACUUCAGAACCCGGCCCGGGGACUACAGCAGUCGGCCCGGAGACUUCAACGAUGCAGCAAGCAGCGGCCGGCUCCGACCCGCCGCCUUCCCACCCGACCGCCCUGGUGCCGGUGGUAGAAGCUCCAUAUUGGGCGCAGCCCAUCCUCAGCUUUCUGAUGAGCUGAGAGCUAUCAGCCGACGAGAUCUUGGCCCGGCAGGUGCAACGCCGGGCGGCAGCAUACAAUAUAGUCAACAGAGAGCUUGUCAGGUGCAGUGUGACUGGCGUUUUCCAGCGCUGCGUAGAGCCGGAGAAGGGCAUAACAAUCCUAAGAGAUAUCCAUCAAGGCGAAUGUGGCCACCAUGCUGCCUCCAAAGCCCUUGUCGCCAAAGCUUUCCGCCAUGGCUUCUUUUGGCUGACUGCUUUGGACGACGCCAAGGAGUUGGUCCGCAAGUGCAAGGGAUGCCAGCGCUUCAGCUCCAAGCAGCACCUGCCGGCUUCUGCACUGAAGACCAUCCCCCUCACUUGGCCGUUUGCCGUGUGGGGGUUGGACAUGGCGGGCCCAUUCAAGACAGUACGUGGCGGCAUGACCCAUUUGCUGGUUGCCGUGGACAAGUUCACGAAGUGGAUUGAGGCGAGGCCAAUCAAAAAGCUGAAUGGUCCGACUGCCGUCACAUUCAUUGCGGAUAUCACCGUUCGGUACGGCAUCCCGCACAGCAUCAUCACCGACAACGACACGAACUUCGCCAAAGGCCUUGGCCCGUUUCUGCACGACGCUUGACUAGCUACGCUCUAGACGGCCGAAGUAACUUGCAUAUUCUAAACGGCCAAGUCCUUGACCCGGCCACAGUCCGCAGCGCGGCUGUCCAGCUGGCAAGGCGGCAGCCAAAGGAAGACGGCAAAAGAAAAGGCCGACAAAAGCAAAGGCAAAACCAAGCCAGAACCCGGCAAAGACACAAGCAUGUGGAAGUAAAUUAUUUACAUAGCGAAAGGCCCAAGGCCAGCAUUGAGACAGAGUUUCGAAAUACACCCCCAGUGGGUGGAACUGCGGACGAUUAACUUGUUUUUUGAGUACAAGACAGAGAAAUUUUAAAAGAGAUAAAGGGCCGCCUAGGCCAAGGGCGCUGCUGGCGGCGUGGACAGGUUGGCGGUGGCUGAGGCGCCGGCUGGUAGGGCGUCCGGCUGUUGGGUCUCGGCUUGGUCGGCGUCGACGGCGGCUGACGUGGUCUCCCGCGGCUCGCUGGCUGAGGCCCGAUCGGGCUGAGUCCGGCUGGUCGCUCCGCCGUCUGGUGCGACGUCCUCGCCUUCCUCGUCCUCGUCACUGGAGGCGAUCUCCUCCGCCGAGUCCUCCCCCUCGUUCGGGUCCAGCCCGAACCAGGAUGGCGGCACCUCAGUGUCGUCUUCCGCCCGCUCCGGGGUGAAGACGCCGACGUCGGCGUAGUCGGCAAGGGUCGCCGCGCGCUUGAUGAUCUCAUCACGUGCCGCCUCCAGCUUUGGUCCCGCCUCCUGGCGGAAGGCGGCCAGCUGAGCCAAUCUUACGUCCGGGUGCCACGCCUUGACGAACUCCAGCGUCGCCCUGGCGCCCGCCCGAGCUGCGGCACCCUUCCAGGCCUCAAGCCGCUCGGCCGCCACCUCCAGCCAGUCGGCAGUCCGACUAGGAGUCCGAGGAAUCUGCUCAUCCGGCCAAAGCCCCGCUAGGACCUGCGACCCGGCGCGCUGAAGUCGGCGGAGCAGGCGGUGCGCUGGCUCAAGGCGCAUCUUGUAGGCCAUGAGCUGCUCGCCUAGAGUCCGGGGCUGGUUCUGCGGAAUGUCCGCGCCCGUCCUCCUCCGCUGAUCACGCUGCGCUUCGAUUGCCUGACAGACGGCAACGGAGCGACUGGGGAAAUACUCUGUGCAAAAGAAGACCAAGAUUUAAAAGUUGGCCUCCUGUAGCAGCCGGCGACCAAGCAACAAAGGAAGAAAGGAUUUACCUUCGACCAUAUCCUCGAUCACCCCGUAGCCGUCAUACAGCAGCUUCUCCCUCUCGGCCCAGUCCGAGCGCUCGGUCUCGAACUCGGCCUUGAGGAGCGCCUCCCCGUCCUUCAGCUGCCGGACCAACGCCUUGUGCUGGGCCGCCUGGUCCGCCAACUCCUUCGCAAGACGGUCGCGCUUUGCGACCGCCUAGCUGCGCUCUAGCUCCUUGGCCUGGAGCUUGCUCUCGAGCUCGCCCAUGCGCGUCCUCAUAUGGGCGGCAACCUCUGCACGAAGCAAGAAAGAAGCGUCAACAUCGACAAAAAGAAGUCGCCGGAAGAUCCGGCCUCACUGCUCAGCAGUCGGCCCGAAUCUCGGGGGCUACACCCAGCGGGUGCGCUUGCGCGCCCCCACUGAAAGCCGGCCUACGUACCAUGGCUCUGCUGCUCGGUGGUCCGGGUGGCGAGUGUCUUGCUCUGGGCGUUGAAGGCAGCCGCACGCAUGUUGUGGUAGUCCUGCAGCAAGCACGACACGUCAGCAUUCGGAAAUACGCCUUAAAGUUCCAACCGCCUGCUCAGCAGCCGGCUUGGAACUCGGGGGCUACACCUAGUGGGUGCGCUGGCGCGCCCCCACUGAAGAUCACAAAAAUAAGAAGCAAGAUAGAGAGCGUACCCGGACGGACGUCUGCAUCGCCAGCAUCUUGCUCCUGGCCUGCAGAAGGGUGGCGCCAUGGGCGUUGAACUUGUCCAGGACGUCUUGGACCGCAAGGUUCAGGGCGGCCGGGCCGGGUCCUGGCGACCAACCAGGCGGAGCGGCGCUGGUGGCCUCGGUAUCACCCGUCGGCGGACUCAUGGCCGCGAUUCCCACCGUCCUCGGCGCGGAGAACGCCGGCACCCGGCGCGAGCUCGCGGAGGCGCGCGUUGUCACGGCCUGGCUUGGCACCAGCUCGGUGCUGGCCGGUGGCACCUCCGGCCCUUCGGGCCGGCCAUCACCCCGCUCAUCAGCACCCGGCGCGCGCUGAGCGUUCUACGGGACGAUGGGGUCGGUCGCCCCCUGCCCCGGCGCCGUCUGGCCGGCUUCGCCUCCUCCAGUCGGCGUCCGGUCCUCCACCAUCGGCGGCUCCGGCUGCUGCGGAUUAGUGCCCUCUGGAACCACGAUGCGGGCCAAGUCCUCCGCGGCCUUUGCGUCGGCCUCCGCCUGUGCCACGCUUGCCGCCUCGGCCUUCUGUCGCGCCGCGGCGUCCCUCUCCUCCCGCGCCUCCCGCGCGUUCCUCUCCGUCGCCUCCCGAAGGGCGGCAGCCGGGUCCACGCCGCGGGCAUCCUCAGGGCCGCCUGACGCCCCGAUCACCAAGGCAGAAGGGGCCCGUGACACAGAAAGGGGAGCCCUGCGCGGCAAGGCAAGCGAAGCUAAGAAGCUGCGAGAAAGAAGCAAGCGCAAAUAGGAAACUCGCAAGAGAGGGAAAAAGCCAAGACAAAACAAUCAAAACAAGAGCAGUCGAAACACUUGCGCGGACACCAUCGGGCGCUGCUUCGGGGUCCUCCGGACGGCAGCCGCCUUCGCGGCCUCUUCGCGGCUCCUUUGGGUGGACUUGGCCUUCUUGGUCGGCCGGCUGCCGAACAUCCCCACGUCGGCGCGGCGCUUAGACGUGCCGGGUGCUCCGGUCGGCGCCCCGCCUGUUGGCCGCACCGCUGAGGAGCCGGCACCCGCCCUGUCGGCGCCUUCUGGGCGGCGUUGUUCGUCGCCGUCCUCGUCGUCGUCGGGCCAGUCCCGGAUGUCGUCACCUCCUCCCACGCCGCCUCCCGCAGCUCCGCCUGCACCACCGCCGCCUCCCCCGGCGGCGUCGUCCUCCUCCAACGCAGCCGCCCCCAGCUUGGGGUCGCCUACGUCGCUCACCUCCCGGUCUGCCAUCCACUGGUGGCCAGGAGCCGGUCUGGCGGCGUUCGCCUGGCCAACAAAGGGCUGCGCCGCAUUCGGAUGCUCAGGGCGGAUGAAGAGAGCGGCGUGAGCGAAGAAAGGAGGCCAGACACUCACCGCAGGCGGAGGGUGUGCGCGGUGGUACGGCAGCUUGUCGAAGCUCCAGUCCUCCUCGCUGAGCUGGCUGUUGGAGAAGUAGUUCACGUGCCGAACAACCUCAACAGUCGGCAGCUCCUUCGUCGACAUCCGGCAGGGGUCCCGGCGGCCGCUCAUAUCGCAGAUGGGAUGCGGCUGGAGCUGGAGGGACGACACCCGGCAGUACACGAAGGCGGCCAGCAGGUCCGCCGGCUGGAGCCCCUCCGACUCCGUCAUCUCCUGGAGUUGGUCGAGGGCGUUAACGAUGGCAGUCGGCGGCGGCUUGCCGGGUUGCUAGCCCCAGUUGUUCCGCAGCUCAGCAGGCGGCCCGGGCACGAAGGCCGGCAGGUUGACGUAGUCGUUAGUUGGGUGGACGUUGCGGACAUAGAAGUACGACUUCUGCCACAACUUUGCCGACUCGUGUAGAGCGAUGGGCGGAAACCGAGUCCCGGAAGGGGUGCGCCGCACGGCGACGCAAGCGCCGCACUGGGCCGACUCGCCCUUAGCCGCGGUGCCGAGCUUGAGGUAGAAGAACCUGCCCCACAGCUCGAGUGUGGGCAGGACACCGAGGUAACCUUCGCAGAGCGUGACGAAGGCGGAGAGGAGAACCACCGUAUUCGGCGUGAGGUGGUGAGGCUGCAGCCGAUAGAAGUCGAGGAACUUCUUGAAGAAGCUGCUCGCCGGCAAGCCGAAGCCCCGAAGGAAAUGGCUGCGGAAGACGACAUACUCUCCGGCCUGCGGCGCCGGCGAGAUCUCCCGCUCGGCCGGAAGGCGCGUCUUCAGGCAGGCCUCGUUGGGUAUCCGCCGCGUCGCGCGGAGGAACUCGACGUGCCCGUCGUGGACGUUCGAGCCAUCCCACUCGCCCCCCGCCAUGUCUUGAGCUUGCCUGGUGGCGGCGCGACGAGGUUGGGUGGCGGCGAGGCUAGGCACCGGCGGGCUGCAGCAGCACUUCGGUGGCGGAGCGGCGUGGCGGAGACCCCGCAGAGCAGAACUAGGGGUGUUAUCUCCUCGAAGAGCCCCGAACCAGGGUAAGACUCGUGUGCGUUCGAGAUCUCGCCCACUCCCGCUUCCGGGGCCCGACGACGUCCUCCUGUCCCCAUCCAUGAUAAGCCACCCCCUGGCAUCUGUCGCGAGAAUACCCCGACAUUUAUAUUUUUGAGCUGGAUGCUCCAAAUUUUCUAUGCAAAUUUGGUGCUUUAUGAGUUGGAUAUUCGGAAUUAUCUAAUUAUAGUUUAUUUGGUCAUAUAUGAUAAAUCCGUCCAUGUUGCAUAUAUGUGGAUGGCUGGAUGCUCUGUUGACUUUUUGAGGGAUAUUUCAUUAAUCCUGCACAAUCCUUUCUUAAUAAUGAGAAUUGUGGUACUCCCUCUGGUUCAGAAAUAUGAGGCGUAUUUUGACUGUCCAAGCUCUAUAUUUUGCUGCACACCUUCUCAGCUUUGGCAUUGAAAGAACUAAACCACAGAAACCUGAAGGAUAGGUGCACAUCUCCAGAUGCAAUGCCUAUGAAAGAACUCAUUGCUGUUGCCCAAGUUAGAAGGUUCUCUCGGUCAACUUUCUUUUCAGAUAACUUCUUGAACGGCAAGUAUAUUUCCAAACUUUUAGUCAGCACACCUCUUAAGGAAGGACAGGGACAGCUUUCACCUUCGAAUCGGAUAGUCAGGUCCACCUCUACAAAUGACAGUGUUCAUUCUAGGAGUCCUUCUGAUAACCCACAAGAGAAGGAUGUGAAAAAAGUAGCAAGGAGCAACGAGGCUAAUGCAGCACGGAAGGCUUUUGGAGCUUUUCUUGGUACACUGACAAGAACAAAAGAAAACAUAGCACAUGCAACACGUCUUGCUAUUGAUUGCGCUAAACAUGGCAUUGCUUGGGAGGUUAGACCAUGCAUAUCUGUACUUUGUUUUUACUGUUAGAUCUUUGCCGUUAUGCUUUUUUAGGGUUGUCAUGAGUUUCUUGUUUGUAGAUUUAUUCAACACGGUCAAUUUUUGUACUUGUUGGUGAAUUGGCAAUUAUUUGGGUUCUUCGUUUACUUAGCCUGGUUUGAUGCCAUGUUCUUCAUGCCAACCACCAGUUCUUCUAUAUUAUUUGCUGUGGGGAAUCACUGGGUAGCUCAAUGGUGGCAUAUGGUGGUGCUACUAAGGAACCCUUGUUUGAUUCCACCUCCCUUUUAAGAACACGUCAGAGCGUCUUUAUUAUAUUAUGUGAUGUGAUUGUGAGCUAUGCAGAACAAAAUUUCGCCAGUAGAAAUGGUGAAAGCGGCAUAUCUCUAAUAUAUAGUUUCUUGUUUCUUUUUAUGUCUUUGACAUGUUAUGGCAAUCUAUAUUAGAACUUGUGGACUUGGAACUAACGAGUGAUAAUGCUUUGAGUCAUUGCAUUAUUUACCACUUCCAAAUUCUAAGUUAGUUGACGAAAUCUUAUUUUAACAAACAGCAUGCUGUUUACCGAAAAAGGCUUUCGCCCUGCUUUAUAAAUAAAGCAAACCGCCACAGAGCACACAUACAUGGACUAGUUCAAACACACGCACCCAAGUCUCACACACAAGUACGAAGGUUCUGCUGAGGGCACAGCUCAACAAGCCCAAAAAAACUAAAAGAAAAGAGCCGGCUUGCCAAUACAAAGAUAAACAUGGCUGCCCAUGCAACCAAUUGCUAUCAAGUUUUUCUAACGC
Molecule: RNA transcript, 12044 nt
Organism: Triticum aestivum (bread wheat)
Lineage: Eukaryota; Viridiplantae; Streptophyta; Magnoliopsida; Poales; Poaceae
Gene name: protein HUA2-LIKE 2
Exons: 2
Source: RefSeq, a predicted model, not a curated record